CGUCGCGCUCCGCGAUCGGCACCGCGAGCUCGCUGAGCCCGAGCCCGGCGCGCACCGCCGCGCGCAGCAUCAGGUUCGAAUUCAGCCCCGACAC
This 94-nucleotide transfer RNA is filed under the name Burkholderia stabilis. Its description in RNAcentral is "tRNA-Leu(gag)". The record is from RNAcentral. Lineage: Bacteria; Pseudomonadati; Pseudomonadota; Betaproteobacteria; Burkholderiales; Burkholderiaceae.